This is a non-coding RNA of Misgurnus anguillicaudatus (oriental weatherfish), 1290 nucleotides long. The record is from RefSeq and is a predicted model, not a curated record. Lineage: Eukaryota; Metazoa; Chordata; Actinopteri; Cypriniformes; Cobitidae.
AAAACCACCAGUGUUGAUUUUACAGAGUUCGCUACUCUAGAGUGGUCAGGUGUUAGUUGUAGUGUUCGUUUAUAAUUUAUCAUCACUCACAGUGUCAGAAACUUCCACAAGGGGGUGUUGCUUUCCAGUGUUCCAAUAAUAACGUUUGCGGGGAGUUAAGAUUCACGCCACGCCCCUUCUUUCUGAAGCGGGAAAGUCAGUUACUCAGCAUCGACCGACCUGGACUCACGUUACUGAGGUUUGGAACAUGCUGCUGAAGUUGGUUAUCAGGGCUCCAGGAAAUGUAUCAAACUGCAGGAUUGAUUUAUUUUUGCUCAUUAGUGAAGGUGGUAAGCUAAACUGACUGUGGACUAAUGUAUGCAUUGUUGAUGACACUGAAAUCGAGGAAGACAUUCUACAAGAUGUGCUGCUUACAGUUAGAGGACAAAAUGAAGAUGCAACAAGCAGCUUCUGCCACUGUCAUUUACCAUCUGAACUUGACCAAAGUCGUUUCAAGAAAUCUAAGACAACAGAUGACUCCAUGACCGAGGAAGACUCCUACAAGGGACCAGUGAGAGCAUAGACUGUGAUAGUGACAUGGCAACACUGCCUUUACUGCUCCAUCUCCUUCCACCAUCACCUCAACGGAAUCAGUGCAUCAGAUUUGCAGUGAGCAGGCUUGUGGUGUAUCAUAAGUCUUGUACCAGCCUUGAAGAACAUCUUCAGCAACGAGUAGGAUGACAACCGUACCUUACUGCGGUUAGCAGGAUCUGCGGCCAGAUUUGAGAACUUUGAUGUGGCUUUUGAUAAGAAUCUCACCCCAUCAGUCGGAAGGCUCCCUUUUAUUAGCAUUUGACUUUGUUUUUAAUGUAAUGUAUGAUGAUGGACUCCUUUACUUUAACUAAUUUAAUCAAACAACAGUUUACAUGUUGGGAAAACUAGAGAUUGAGAGCUGAGAGCAAACUUUUUUUAACUAGCUGUAACUAGUAUCUCAUUUACGGUUUCAGCAUGCAUUUUAUCCUUGCCCAAAUUUCUAAUUAAUAUGUGCUGAAGAAAAUUGUGAUUACUUUUGUGAUGUAUUGUUUUACAGAAUGUUUAGUGAAAGAUUUGCUGUGAUUUGCCCUAGAUGUGUGUCAGACAUGGAUUUUAAAACACUUUUCCAGUUUUGUUUAAACUCCUUGGCAAAAUUGAAAGGACUGUAUACAUAACCACUCUCUGAAAAUUUUGAAAAAGUUCACAAGUGAAACUUUAUUUUUUUAUAAAUAUUUAAUAAUGUCAAAUAAAUUUGUUAAAUAAAUUUGUGGUCAAUAA